AUUAAGAAAACUUUAGAUAUAAAUCAAGUGCUGACCCCUUUUUCGAAAAUCUUGAAAAAAUAAAACAGAUAAACAUUCAAUGAGUAAAAAUUUUAAAAAGGUGCUGCCAUCUAUAUGCUUCUGGAACAUAAAAUCCAAAAAAGCAUAAAAAUCCAUUGUCAUUCAAUUCAUACCUGCCAACAUUGGGGAAAUGAAACAACGGAGAUUUUACUAGCCACGUUUAUCAGGCUAUGAGUAAAGUUUUGAUACAUCAUGCAUAAUCAUGUGAAAAACAGUUUGCAAGAACAUAACAAUACCGCAACAUAUGCUCUCCCUUUCAACCUAAGACGAAUUCUCCUCCCCACAAAUAAAUCUCUUACAAGAGUCAAUGGAUUCUCCUAUUGGAGGUGUGAAUAAAAAAAGUGAGAGUCAUUCUCUAAAAGUGGGGUGAAAUGCUUGAAGAUCAAGUUUCAGCUGAACUUUAUUAUUUUUACUCUUCAUAAUUUAGAGAUGUUCAAGUAAAAUGAUGAAUAAAAGAGAAAUGUGU
Parasteatoda tepidariorum (common house spider) is the source of this 526-nucleotide non-coding RNA. The record is from RefSeq and is a predicted model, not a curated record. NCBI's taxonomy places the organism in Eukaryota, Metazoa, Arthropoda, Arachnida, Araneae, Theridiidae.